This is a non-coding RNA of Oryctolagus cuniculus (rabbit), 896 nucleotides long. The record is from RefSeq and is a predicted model, not a curated record. NCBI's taxonomy places the organism in Eukaryota, Metazoa, Chordata, Mammalia, Lagomorpha, Leporidae.
UGUACUUUCAGUUAUUCCAUUAAGUACUAACCUUGGAGCCUAAGGAAAUUUGUAGAUAAAAAUUCCAAAUAGAAAGAAAUGUUCUUAGGGAAGCAAGCUUAUGGUUAAUGUAUGUAAACACAAGGAUCUGAAGAGGGGAGUGGGCUCUUUCUGGAAAGACACUGGCUGCAUGAGAAGGAUUUGGUGCAGGAGAGAUUUUCCAUUGCUGGAGGUGAGGCUGGAGGGUGCUGUGUGGAGGGAAUGGUGGGAGAUUUCUAGGGGUGAGAAUGUCUGCUAGACUACAGCCCACAAGAAGAUAGGGUCCUCGAUCUACAGGUGCAAGCUUCUGUAAUUUGCCAACAAUAUGAAUGAAUUUGAAAGUGGCUCUUCUUCUCCAGAGCCUCCAGAUACAGUCUGCCUUGAGUGUGAGUCCCUGAGCAGAGAGCCCAGCCUAGCUGUUCCCGGACUUCUGACCCACAGAACUUGAGAUGAGCCACAUUGUUCAGAGAGAAUAUAUGGGAAGGAGGGAGAAAUCUGAAGAUUUCAGGAGAUCUCUGAAGACCUUGAAUAACUCACAGAAUUCUUCUAACUUGACCUUGUGGGAGAUGCUGUAUUACUGAGAUUUACCAAGCAGGGAGACAGCCAAUGUGGUUGAGAGUGCUGAUGAACUAAUGGAACUCGUACACUUCCAGUGGCAGGUGAAAACGGAUGAAUUUCAUCACUCUAGCAUAAAUCUAAUCAUUCCAAGGAUAAACUAUGUCACCUGAGGAUUGCACUCCACUCUCCUUCCUCCAGGACUCUUUGGAAGUAGCAGGUGAAAGUGUGGAUGAGAAGAGAGUGGAUGGGCCUAAGAAAGAUAUUUAUGAAGUUAAAGCAGAAAUCCUUAAGAUGCUCAAAAGGUAAGACAACAUUUCUAG